This 22-nucleotide microRNA is filed under the name Picea abies (Norway spruce). RNAcentral's name for it is "pab-miR482d-3p". Its record names the gene pab-miR482d-3p. Lineage: Eukaryota; Viridiplantae; Streptophyta; Pinopsida; Pinales; Pinaceae. The record is from miRBase by way of RNAcentral.
UUUCCCACUCCUCCCAAGCCCA